RNAcentral lists this long non-coding RNA (10777 nucleotides) under Malus domestica (apple). RNAcentral describes it as "long non-coding RNA (MDOM_LNC004833)". Lineage: Eukaryota; Viridiplantae; Streptophyta; Magnoliopsida; Rosales; Rosaceae. The record is from RNAcentral.
GUUAAACAAAUUGAAUUCACAACUUAUGAAAUCAUAACUGAAGGUAAUCAAAUCAUAGUGCAAGCAUGGACAUGGUUUCGAAUUCCCCUCUAGCUAAGGGGGGUUUAGUUCCUCAUACUUACAAAGCAAAGAUAAACAAAUUUAGACAUUGAAAACAAAAGAAAGAAAACACCUAAAAAUGCUUCAACAAUCCAACUUGAAUGGCAAGCACGUCCAAGGGUCCUCCUUCUUCUCUUUGUUGUGGCACAAGGUGUGGUUUGAUGGAUGAGUGGUAAAUUAUGGUGGUGGAUGGAUAUAGGUGAGUUAUGGUGAAGGGUGGAUUGGUGGAUUAUGUUCUCUCUGGUUUUUUUCCCCCUUGUUAUGGUGAAGGGUGGAUGUAUUUAUAGGCUAGGGAGAGGACUACCAUCUAAUUAAGGUGGUAGUGAUGAGUGUUGUGGUAAUGAGUGGAUGUAAUGGGUGUGGUGGAUGGAUGUUUGGUAAUGAGUGGAUGUAAUGGGUGUGGUGGAUGAAUGUUUGGUAAUGAGUGGAUGUAAUGGGUGUAGUGGUUGGGUGUUUGGUAAUGAGUGGAUGUAAUGGGUGUGAUGGAUGAGUGUUGUGGUAAUGAGUGGAUGUAAUGGGUGUUGUGGGUGAAAGUUUGGUAUGAGUGGAUGUAAUGGGUGUAGUGGAUGAAUGUUUGUAGUUGUAGAUCAACACACUUGCACACACACAUGCUGAUUUCUAGCCUUCUAAUCUUCAAAAACGUCCAUCCUCAUGUCUCCAUGCUUGCAUUAUCCAAUCUUGGCUCAAAAAUGCUCAAAAAUGCUCCAAAAUGCACUUUCUUGCCAACUUUGUUAUUAUGACCUACAAACACACGAAAAUAGCUUAAAAUACAUAAUUAACUAAGAAAUAACAACACAAAUGCACAAGAACAAGCUAACUAAGUCGCAUGAAUAUGCUCCUAUCAAAUUCCCCCGCACUUAGCUUUUGCUAGUCUUUGAGUAAAACAAAAGAAACAAAACCAAACAAAACAAACAAAACCAACAAAACACAACCUAACCUUCCAACAUUUGCCUCAGGGAUUUUCAAUGAAACAUGACAUGCCAAAGAUCACCACUUACAUAGAUUUAAGUAUUCCUAACCCUCGAGCAUACUUAAUCAUAGUCACCAUUCACUAGCUCACAUUUAAUCAAUUAAAAUAGCAUUUUGAAUAUAGUAACAUGCCUUAGAGAAUUUCCUCAAUUCCUUACUAGAUACACUCUUAUUUUCACACAAGAAAUUCUUACUACACUCCCUAUACUAGGUAUAUGUGAGAAGAUUGAUGUAAACAUGAAAACUAGUAUUCACAUAUGUUUUUCAACAAAGAAGCAAUUUUUGGAAUUAUUAAUUCAUGUAAUAUAUUAUCUCAUGAAUGGAAUGCUACUACUUAGAUGCGAGAACCAGUGACACCAUAUGCUCAUAUCAAUUUCAAACUCCACAAAUUGAAACACACAACACUCAAGAUUGAAGUCAAGGGUUGUAACAAGGCUUGGGGGUAAUGGCUAACAAAGAAAGGAUAGGAAUAAGAAACAUUCUUAAAGCGAUAGCAAGCAAAGUAAUGGAAUCAACACUUGGAAUUCACUUUAGAAUGCAAAAAUCAACUUUUAAACACAAAGGGAAGAUUCAUGCAACACUUAGGGUCGAAUUCAAUGCUUUGGAUCAUUUCUUCAACAAACAACACUUUAGAGCUCUUUCUCAUAAAUUUUUCAACUCUUUUCACAACUUUUCUUCUUUUCAUUCUAUUUUCCACGAAUUUUUCUUUUUCUUUUCCUUUUCUACCUGUGCCUUAUGAAGGACUUUGGCACAUACGCACACACACAAGAAUCACUUCCCCCACACUUGUUUUUCUGCAAGAGUUCAACAAAAGGAAUUCCUUCUAAAUUAUGCUUUACUAUGCUUCAAGAACAAGGGUAUGGAUGGUCCUAAUCUAGGCUAGGUGAGGAUAGUGUGGGUAACAAAGAACAUAGGCAACACAAGGCUCAACAGGGUUAAACUUAAACACAUAAUGAAUGGGAUAGGCUUUUUGGCUCUUGGCUCACUAAACAACUUCGUCUUGAAUAUGUGUUAUGCAAAUCAAUAACAUGCUUUGAAUGAAAUAGGCAUGAGUUCUAGCAUUUGGAACUAAAUGAUGAAACGCCUUCUAAGUAGCAACCAAGCAAAGAAUAAUGAGAUCAUGCAACGACUUUAGAAAACAAAAAACAUUGCACAGAUUAAUAACUCUCCAAAUAAACGUUUAGGCCCAAGUCUCUCAAGGAUGUAGCGUUAGUUUGAGUUCCUUCUUUCAAGCAUGUUACAAAAACUGAUUUUUCCUUUUAUAAUUGCAUGUGAAUUCAUAAAUUAUAACCACAACUAAGCAUACACCAAAGAGUAAAUCAAAUUUUCAUCCAUAUUUAUAACUCUCUUUAACAGUCAUGUAAUUAAAAACCAAAUCUUCAUCAUUGUGUUGGAAGGUACCCUAAGACACAAAUAAACACACAAAAACAACUCUUUUUGUGUUUUUCAAAACAAUUUUUCAAAUUUUUAUGAGAUUUUCGGAUUUUUAUGUCAAAACACACUAAAACACUCCAAAACAGCUUAAAAACACUUAAAACAGCAAGGAACAACACUAGAAGUAAUGGGUGAUAAACUCCUACAAAUUUCAUGCAAAGCAACUUGUUUACCCCCCCCCACACUUAAAUCAAGCAUUGUCCACAAUGUUUCAAGCAUAAACUCACACAAAAACAACCAAACAAACAAACAACGAAUAAACAUGACAAGUAUGGCAAAGUAAAAACCAGACAGAGUAGAGUUUAAGAACGCAAAUCUGGUUUUGGAGAUAGAUGAUCUUGUUGACUUUCCACAGCUUUGAUCUUAAACUGGUUUGGAAUUCUGAGCGAGCAAUAUGGGAGUUCCUUGGUUUCAAAUCAGACUCCUUCUGCUGGGUUGAUUUGAUUGUGCAAUUUGCAUUCUUCUCUGCUUAUUUCUUCUGCACGGCAAGCAGGCACGAGGUAGAGGUGAUAGUCUGUUUCUUUCUUCAAUCUUUCCAAGUGCCCACCAUUUGCUUUCUUUCUCCUUGUCCCUAGCUGAGGAUGAAUUGGCACAUUGUCUCCACAUGCUUCAAGGUAUCAUUUUCACUUCCCUUAUCUGUUCCCCAAGCAGAUGUGGUAGACGAAGAGAAAGCAUAAGAUGUUGAAGAUGAGUACUCGAGAGCAAGGCUAGGCAAGCAAUCAGGAAGGGGUUCCAGGCAGUCGGUUCUAGAUUAGAAGAUUAAUACCAAGUGCUGGUUGAUUGCUUACUUUCUCCUUGUCCCAAAACAACGACAAGGAGAAGGAUAGGGAGAAAGCAUGAUAUGAGAUACUCUUGCUUUCAACCUUUAUGAUAUGAAAUACUUUUGCUUUGGAUGAGUUAUUUGCAGAGGUACCCCAAGGAAUAAGGAACACUGAGUGACUCGAUAGGGUUUGUUGGAAAGGCAUUCUCGGAGAAGAAGAAGGGUUAUGUAUGUCUACCUUGCAAUGGCAUUUAUAGGAAUUAAUAACCGGUACUAUUCUUUCACUCUUGUCAGCAACCGUUGGAUGAUUUAAUAGUGAACUUCACGUCCUUUCUACUUUACAAGAGAUCUUCGAUAGAUUGCCUGUAAUUUCUACAAGGCUGAGUGUGCAUGUGACAGGCUCUGACACGUCUAGAAAAGUAAGUGCCUCUUCGAUAUCUGGAAUCGGCGUUUCGACAAACUGCCCGUGAUUUCUGCAAAGCUGAGUGUGCAUGUGACAGAUGCUAACACGUCUCGAAAAGCAGAUGCCUCUCCGAUUUCUAAGCUUGCCUCUUCGAGUUCUGAGCUCGCCUCUUCGAUCUCUGAAAUCCCAUCGAGUGCAGAGGUUGCAUGUGACAAGUGCGGACAAAUCUGGAAAAGAAGAUUGGCCCGUGGUUUCUGAGCAAGCCCAACUUUUGAGAAAGCUAGCGCUUCUUUGAUUUUUGAAUUGGCCUCUUCGAUUUCUGAGCUCACCUCUUCGAUCUCUGAAAUCCCGUCGAGUGCUUAUUUUUAUAGAGGUAUGCAGGACGUUCAAAGCACACUUGAAUUUCUGCCUGUAGAAACUCCCUUCUUGCACUUUUACGAUCUUAACUUGUCCGACCUCUUCUUUCUUUAACACCUUUGAAAAUGUCUGGCCUCUUCGACCGUCGUUUUGACUUGAACCUUGGUGAAGAGGCAGUCCCGCAUUCUCUAGACAACAUAUGGCGCCCAUCCUUCAUAUUCCCUACUGGUCCCCUUACCGUUGGGGAUUCGGUGAUAAAGAAUGAUAUGACAGCUGCGGUGGUGGCCAGGAACCUUGUCACUCCUAAAGAUAACAGACUACUUGCCAAACGAUCUGAUGAGUUGGCUGUUAAGGAUUAUUUGGCUCUCAGUGUGCAGUGUGCAGGUUUUGUGGCUAAUAUGGCCCAACGCCUAUUUGCUCGAACCCGUCAAGUUGAAUCAUUGGUGGCUGAAGUGAUGAGUAUCAAACAAGAGAUUAGAGGGCUCAAGCAUGAGAAUAAACAGUUUCACAGGCUCGCACAUAACUAUGCUACAAACAUGAAGAUGAAGAUUGACCAGAUGCAGGAAUCUGAUGGUCAGAUUUUACUUGAUCAUCAGAGGUUUAUGGGUUUGUUCCAACACAUUUGCCUUCGUCUUCUGGGGCUGUACCGCAUAAUGAAGCUCCAAAUGAUCAACCUCCGAUGCUUCCUCCUUCUGGGGCUCUGCCAACUGCUGAGCUCCGCCGACUACUGAGACUUCUCCUAAGCAGCCUUUGUGAAGGCUCCCUCUUGUAUUUUUCUACUUAAUGUUCCUUUUUUUUCAUGACAAUGAAUGUAAAAAUACCUUGCAUAUCUAUUAGUGUUUCAAAAAUAAACCCACACCAAAAACAAUUAAACAAGCAACAAAUAAAAAUGACAAUCAUGGCAAAAUAAAACUACAAAAAAGGGAAGGUUUUUAGGAAUGCAAAACCAAUCGUGGAGCAAUUCAAAAAUCUUCCUUAUUUGAAUACAUGGGUUGCCUCCCAAAAAGCGCUUGCUUUAACGUCUUCCAGCCAGACGAAACUUCCUUCUAAACUUGGAUAGGGCCCAUAGCAUGGAAUUGAUCUUUGAAUGGAAGGUGAUACUUGACGUGAUCCGGCAAUGGUUUAAAUUCUAGUGUAGGUGCUUGAAUCAUCAAAAUCAGCAAGUUAGUAUAUAAUAAAAUCGAAGUUGGAGAAGAUGGCUUACUUGCUUGCUCUAACACAAACUCAAUUACGAACACCACAUCUUUGAAGGUUGCAGGGAUAUGGGACUUGGCCAGAUUUGGUGUUUUGAGAGUUAUGACUUGUUCCGUGUCAUAAAAUCCAACUUCUUUGGGAAUUUUCGUCUCAAGUAUAUCUUCUUUGAUGAAUUCUAGACAUUCCCCAUCCACUUCUUGCUCUUGAUUCAUUGGAAAGGUUUUGAAUAUGCCUUUCUCACCCUCUUCUUCCUUAGAUUGCAUGAUCCUGCAAGGAAUAAGGACAUUUGGUGAAACGAGGUCAGGACAAAUUGAAUUUAGGCUUACCUUGGUUGUAGUGGACGACAUAGAUGGCAUAUGGGGCUGCGGUAAUGGUGGUUCUUCCCUUGCCGUGGCCUUGUUAUUCUCCUCUUUUUUGAGCAGCAACUGCCAUGUUUUGGCUUGGUUUGGAUGUCUUAGGUUCACCUCCAACCUCCAUAGCACUUCCCAAAGUGAUAGCAUCAUGGAUUUCAAAAUCUUCCUUCAAAUUUUCAAUAGUUGAGUUGGAGAGUUCACUUUGCUCUUGAAUUUAUGCCAUAAACUCCAUAAUCUGCCCAAUUUGCUUUUCCAAUAAACUCGUCUUCUUGGCUUGAUUUUGCAUCUCUUUGUUUCCAUUUUCUACUUCCUGGUUCAAAGAGGUGAGUAACUUAUUAAACAUAUCAUUAUCCAAAGACGUACCUGAAUUGAAUUGGGCAGAUUGUUGUGGUGGCUGCAUAGGUCUUGAAUAGAACUCCUCUUCUUGCUGGCAAUACCCAUCUUGUUGGAAUUGUUGAGGUUCUCCCCACAUGUAAUCUGAAUAAUCUCUCCAAUCCGAAUUGUAAGCGUUGGAAAACAUGUUGUCCCAUGAUUGGCUAUGGCCUUGAUAACCCCAAGCAUCUUCAUUCGCAGGGAAUUGAGAACAUUGAUGAGUUGGAUAUCCUUACCCAUAGGACACACCAUAUGUAGGGACACUUUGCAUUGUGGUCCUUUCAGCAUAUUGUGACAAUUGAGAAGUAAGUUUCACAAAUUGAGCUUGAAUGGUAGCAAAUCCAUGUCUUACUUCUUUAGUACCUGAAAUCAAGGAAACAAAACUAAAUCAAAUAUCAUAAGUAAAAAUAAAAGACAAAAAUAGAAACAAAGUCAGUAACUAAAACAAAAGACAUGAAAAAGAAACAACGGAGGAUUAGCAAAGUUGAUAAUCCCCGGCAACGGCGUCAAAAAUUUGAUGCGAACAUUAACUUAACACACAAAUUAAACCCUCUUGUUGUCAAUUGUAGUAAAGAAUGUAAGUAGGGAUCGUUCUAGACCGGGGAUUAGGAGGGAUUGCUAAAACACUUGAAACCGACUUAAAAAUGUAAAAUUAAGUUUAAAACACCAAACUAGACUCAAAAGAUGCAAUACAAACUAAAAGGACUCAAAACAAGCUAAAAACGCUCAAAUCUGCCUAAAAACACAAACUGCGCAGAUUUGGACUUUAACACACUUUUAGGACACCUAAAAACACAAAUCAAAACAGAUUUUGACUAAUAAAACACUUUAAAGUAAAGGGGGUUUUGGUUUUGACGAAUUUGAAAACAAAACAAGUAAAUUAAAGAACUAAUGAAAUCUGCACGAAUUUGAGUAAAUUGAAUGGAUGGAAGGCUAGCUAGGAGGUCCUUCUCCACACAUGACAUACUUGCACAUAAACCAAUUUUCAAUUGUUCUUUCGAUCAAUCAUUAAACUCAACACCCCAGGUUAAUUAAGCCCGCUUAAAUUAACCUUCAAGUUCUCCUUAAGUUAUUGAAUUGGAUGGGAAAGCGCAUACAAUUCAAGCAUUCUUCAAAAGUUCUUUACGUGAACAGCACAAUAAAGAUACAAUCAAAGAUCAUUAAGCAUUAUGAAAACUAUAAGUAUUGACGAGGCAUUCGUUACUAUGAUGAGCAUGAAACUCCUGCCAAGAAUUUAUUUAACGCGAUCGUUUAUAAGCAACCUCCACUACUUGUGAAUAUAAGUUUGUAACUAUUAGGUGAAACUCCCUUAUACUCUAGCAUCAUAUUCAUGCAUGCAAACUAAGUGUGCACUCUUAAUAAACAUACACGAAUAAGUUAUCAAUCAAGCAGUUAAACAAAUUGAAUUCACAACUUAUGAAAUCAUAACUGAAGGUAAUCAAAUCAUAUUGCAAGCAUGAACAUGGUUUCGAAUUCCCCACUAGCUAAGGGGGGUUUAGUUCCUCAUACUUACAAAGCAAAGAUAAACAAAUUUAGACAUUGAAAACAAAAGAAAGAAAACACUUAAAAACGCUCCAACAAUCCAACUUGAAUGGCAAGCACGUCCAAGGGUCCUCCUUCUUCUCUUUGUUGUGGCACAAGGUGUGGUUUGAUGGAUGAGUGGUAAAUUAGGGUGGUGGAUGGAUAUAGGUGAGUUAUGGUGAAGGGUGGAUGGGUGGAUUGUGUUCUCUCUGGUUUUUUCCCCCCUUGUUAUGGUGAAGGGUGGAUGUAUUUAUAGGCUAGGGAGAGGACCACCAUCUAAUUAAGAUGGUAGUGAUGAGUAUUGUGGUAAUGAGUGGAUGUAAUAGGUGUGGUGGAUGGAUGUUUGGUAAUGAGUGGAUGUAAUGAGUGUGGUGGAUGAAUGUUUGGUAAUGAGUGGAUGUAAUGGGUGUAGUGGGUGGGUGUUUGGUAAUGAGUAGUGUUUGGUAAUGAGUGGAUGUAAUGGGUGUGGUGGAUGAGUGUUGUGGUAAUGAGUGAAUGUAAUGGGUGUAGUGGGUGGAUGUUUGGUAAUGAGUGAAUGUAAUAGGUGUAGUGGAUGAAUGUUUCUAGUUGUAGGUCAACACACUUGCACACACACAUGUUGAUUUAUAGCUUUCUAAUAUUCAAAAAUGUCCAUCCUCAUGUCUCCAUGCUUGCACUAUCCAAUCUUGGCUAAAAAAAAUGCUCUAAAAUGCUCCAAAAUGCACUUUCUUGCCAACUUUGUUAUUAUGACCUACAAACACAUGAAAAUAGCUUAAAAUACAUAAUUAACUAAGAAAUAACAACACAAAUGCACAAGAACAAGCUAACUAAGUCGCAUGAAUAUGCUUCUAUCAAGGGUGAGGAGCCUUAGGAAUUGGCCUCAGAAAUGGCCUCUCCUAAUUGUGAGGGUAAGGGGUCCUUUUAUAGAAUAAGGACUCCUCACUUAUUACAUAUUUACCCCUUCCUUUAUCACAUAAUUACAUUUAAGUCCACCGAGUAUUUAUACGAGGUCUAAAUACGAGGCCCUAAUUAUGGUAUAAACAGUAGUCCCCCAACUCUUCAGUCAAGAGAGUCUUUUGGCUUGAGACUUGAAAUUCAGUCCCUGUGUGGGCCGAAGUAACUAGAUGCUGUCUUGAACCGAUGCUCGAUAUGAGGCAGUGCUCAAUCUGAAAUGACGCUCAACUAGAAGUAGCACACGCUGGGAGGCUGCUCGGCUCGUGGCUUAUGUUGCCUUGGUUGGCUCGGCUUGCGGUGUUUGAAGGUGAGGGAGUCCCUUUUAUAGAAUAAGGGCUUACUCCUCAAUACAUGAAUGAUGGGCUAGAGUUGAUGCUCUCUAAUGAUGGUGAGGGAGUCCCUUUUAUAAAAUAAGUGCUCGCUCCUCACUACAUAAGUGAUGGGUUAUGAGUGAUGCUCUCUAAUGAUGGUGAGGGAGUCCAUUUUAUAGAAUAAGAGCUUGCUCUUCAGUACAUGAAUAAUGGGUGCUUUCUAAUGAAAGUAAGGGAGUCCCUUUUAUAGAAUAAGGGCUUGCUCCUUAAUACAUAAAUAAUGGGCUAAGUCCCCCAAGUAUUUUUCAUGAGGCCCAAUUGGGGCCCAAUAUAUGGUACAUAAUGUAGUCCCCCAAGCCUUAGGAAUUGGCCUCAGAAAUGGCCUCUCCUAAUUGUGAGGGUAAGGGGUCCUUUUAUAGAAUAAGGACUCCUCACUUAUUACAUAUUUGCCCCUUCCUUUAUCACAUAAUUACAUUUAAGUGACCCGAGUAUUUAUACGAGGUCUAAAUACGAGACCCUAAAUAUGGUAUAAACAAAAGUCUAAUGUAAAAAAAAUCUGAAUAAGAUGACUUCACGAUGUUAUAAAUAUUAAACGGUCUAGUGGUAUUCCUCUUUACUUGUAAGUGAGAGGUUUUAGGUUCGAUUUUAAUCAAAGACGAAUUUGAACCACAUUAUUGCUAGCCCAUUAUGAGGCUAAGCCCACUCUCUCUCCGUUAAUGUAGAUAAUAUCGUUUGUUCCAAAAAAAAAACAAAAAAACAAGACAUACAUUUUUUUUUUCCUGAAAAAAAAUGUCUUAUCUAUUUAAAAUUUGAUAAUUUACCUUUAAAGUGUAUCACAUAAAAGUUUUUGAAAUGUAAAUUGUGGAUUUAGCGCAAAGGUGUAAGAGAAUGUUUUGCUAAUUUGUGCUCUGCAAUGGAUUGAGCUGCACCUUUCCUUGCACAGAAAUAUACAAAACUUUCAUUCUUCGUUCUUUGAGUUUUUCUUCAGUCUUAUUUCCCAAUCCAUAACUUAAAAAAACAACAUCAAAUACUAAAAACCAACACAAGUCACGUAAUUUAAAUUGAAAAAAACUAAAUAGAUUACAAUCUAGUAGAGAAGGGAAGAAUUUGGAGGUUUUAAUGAACUUAAGGACAUUUGUUUGAAAAAAUAUCAUUAGGGAACUUAAUUUUUUAAAUGGUAGGAUUAUGAGAGAUAUGUUGAAAAGUGUGUGAUUAAGGAAAUGAACUCAAAUAAAAACUAAAAACUAUUUUUAACUUGUAUUUAUUUUGAAGAUUUUGUUUUUUGUUCAUUUUUCUUUGUUUCCUUCAUUCCCUUCCACCAGUAUUCUUCAUCCCUCAUUUUCGCCUCCACUCUUCUUCAUCCCAUAUUUCCUCCAAAUAAUUUCUCCAUAACUCAAACACAUAAAAAUGAAAACUAAAAAUAGAAAACAUUUUGAUAAUUAUCUCACAAAUAUGAUCUCACAUUUCCACCAUAUAAUUUCCCUUUAUAUUUAUGGAAUAGUUAUUAGCACUUAAAAGUCAUUAUGCACUCUUUAAAUAUAUAGAUUUGACAAACCGGCAUUAUAUCUAUCAAAGACAAGGAGCAAGAAAUAAUUGCUUGGUCACAAGCCAGUAAUUUCUUUCUAAUUAAUAUGUGUAGUAGAUUACCAAGAGAAGUUUACCACAAACAUUCAUCGUUUCAGCCAAAUAAUGUAAAUUAGGGUUUUCUUGGUUGAGGCAAUAGUAGGACCUCAAGCUAGGCAAGUAAUUAUGCAACUUUGAUCGUAGCAUGCAUGUCUUACUAGCAAGUUACCAAAAUUUAUUUUAAAUAAAAAAGAGUGAAUUCUUGAUCAAUUGAAAUUUACCGUCCACCAUGCCAGUGGAAGGUAUACACAAAGGAUCGAUCAUCACUUAUUUAUUCAUUUUCUUUAUUCUUAAUAACCUACUUAUCUUCUUAGAUAUAUCCAUCAGCAAAAAUUGCUAGAGUGGUUGUUGUUCUUCCAUAGCUAGUAAGGCUUCUCCCCAACAUAGUUGCCUGGGGGAUCAUAGUUGCAUCCAAUGAAGGUACCCCCACUGCUGCACCUCNNNNNNN